This 264-nucleotide unclassified non-coding RNA is filed under the name Ostropales sp. RNAcentral's name for it is "partial contains 5.8S ribosomal RNA, internal transcribed spacer 2, and large subunit ribosomal RNA". Lineage: Eukaryota; Fungi; Ascomycota; Lecanoromycetes; Ostropales. The record is from RNAcentral.
CGCACAUUGCGCCCCCUGGUAUUCCGGCGGGCAUGCCUAUUCGAGCGUCAUUUCUAUCCUCAAGCUCUGCUUGGUAUUGGGAGGAAGGCCUCAUCCCCCAGGGGAGGAGGCCCCCCCGAAAAUCAGCGGCGGAUCGGCCGGGGUCCCAGCGCAGUGACUUUUUUUUCUCGCUGAUUGGAUCCCCGGGCGGCUCUUGCCGGGCAACAAAACCAUUUAAUCAUCAAGAUUGACCUCGGAUUAGGUAGGGAUACCCGCUGAACUUAA